RNAcentral lists this ribosomal RNA (462 nucleotides) under uncultured bacterium. RNAcentral's name for it is "bacterial SSU rRNA". It matches the Rfam family "Bacterial small subunit ribosomal RNA", at positions 28 to 505 of the family's 1533-position model. The record is from RNAcentral.
GAUGAACGCUGGCGGCAUGUCUAAGGCAUGCAAGUUGAACGAUUCACAUUUCUUCGGAAAGACUGAAUAGUGGCAAACGGGAGCGGAACACAUUGGUAACCUACCUCGGACUCGCGAACAACCAUUGGAAACGAUGGCUAAUACGCGAUACGUCCUCACUUCUUCGGAAGAGAGGAUGAAAGGUCCGCCGGUUCGAGAGGGGCCUAUGUCCUAUCAGCUAGUUGGUGAGGUAAAAGCUCACCAAGGCUACGACGGGUACCGGGCGUGAGAGCGUGGCCCGGCUCACUGGGACUGAGACACUGCCCAGACUCCUACGGGAGGCUGCAGUCAAGAAUCUUCCGCAAUGCACGAAAGUGUGACGGAGCAAUGCCGCGUGCUCGAUGAAGGCCUUCGGGUCGUAAAGAGCUUUUAUUAGGGACGAACAAAUGACGGUACCUAAUGAAUAAGAGGUUGCUAACUCUG